GACGAACGCUGGCGGCGUGCUUAACACAUGCAAGUCGAACGGAAAGGCCCUGCUUUUGUGGGGUGCUCGAGUGGCGAACGGGUGAGUAACACGUGAGUAACCUGCCCUUGACUUUGGGAUAACUUCAGGAAACUGGGGCUAAUACCGGAUAGGAGCUCCUGCUGCAUGGUGGGGGUUGGAAAGUUUCGGCGGUUGGGGAUGGACUCGCGGCUUAUCAGCUUGUUGGUGGGGUAGUGGCUUACCAAGGCUUUGACGGGUAGCCGGCCUGAGAGGGUGACCGGCCAAAUUGGGACUGAGAUACGGCCCAGACCCCUACGGGAGGCAGCAGUGGGGAAUAUUGCACAAUGGGCGGAAGCCUGAUGCAGCAACGCCGCGUGCGGGAUGACGGCCUUCGGGUUGGAAACCGCUUUCGCCUGUGACGAAGCGUGAGUGACGGUAAUGGGUAAAGAAGCACCGGCUAACUACGUG
This 468-nucleotide ribosomal RNA is filed under the name uncultured bacterium. Its description in RNAcentral is "partial 16S ribosomal RNA". It matches the Rfam family "Bacterial small subunit ribosomal RNA", at positions 28 to 507 of the family's 1533-position model. The record is from RNAcentral.